CCACAGUGGUGUUGACGGGUAACGGGGAAUUAGGGUUCGAUUCCGGAGAGGGAGCCUGAGAGACGGCUACCACUUCUAAGGAAGGCAGCAGGCGCGCAAAUUACCCACUGGCCGAAGGCCGAGGUAGUGACGAAAAAUAACGAUACCGGACUCAUCCGAGGCCCGGUAAUCGGAAUGAGUACACUUUAAAUCCUUUAACGAGGAACCAUUGGAGGGCAAGUCUGGUGCCAGCAGCCGCGGUAAUUCCAGCUCCAAUAGCGUAUAUUAAAGUUGUUGCGGUUAAAAAGCUCGUAGUUGGAUCUCAGCAGGCAGGGGGCGGUGCGUUUUUUGACGCGACUGCCUGUUUUGCCUGCGACUUUUCUCGGUGGAGUCGACCGGGUGCUCUUUAUUGAGUGUCCGUUUUGUCGGGCCACCAGGUUUACUUUGAAAAAAUUAGAGUGCUCCAAGCAGGCCGCAUACGCCUGAAUACUCGUGCAUGGAAUAAUGGAAUAGGACGUCGUUCCUAUUUUGUUGGUUUUCGGGAAUCGACGUAGUGAUUAAUAGGGACAGCCGGGGGCAUUAGUAUUCAGACGACAGAGGUGAAAUUCUUGGACCGUCUGAAGACUGACGACUGCUAAAGCAUUUGCCAAGAGUGUUUUCAUUAAUCAAGAACGAAAGUUAGAGGUUCGAAGGCGAUCAGAUACCGCCCUAGUUCUAACCAUAAACGAUGCCAGCUAGCGAUCCGUGGGCGUUUUCCUUGUAGGCCCCAUGGGCAGCUUCCGGGAAACCAAAGCGUUUGGGUUCCGGGGGAAGUAU
This 795-nucleotide ribosomal RNA is filed under the name Lernaea cyprinacea. Its description in RNAcentral is "SSU rRNA". It matches the Rfam family "Eukaryotic small subunit ribosomal RNA", at positions 341 to 1126 of the family's 1831-position model. Lineage: Eukaryota; Metazoa; Arthropoda; Copepoda; Cyclopoida; Lernaeidae. The record is from RNAcentral.